CAACAGGGAUUGCCUUAGUAGCGGCGAGUGAAGCGGCAAAAGCUCAAAUUUGAAAUCUGGCACUUUCAGUGUCCGAGUUGUAAUUUGAAGAAGGUAUCUUUGGGUCUGGCUCUUGUCUAUGUUUCUUGGAACAGAACGUCCCAGAGGGUGAGAAUCCCGUGCGAUGAGAUGUCCCAGACCUAUGUAAAGUUCCUUCGAAGAGUCGAGUUGUUUGGGAAUGCAGCUUUAAGUGGGUGGUAAAUUCCAUCUAAAGCUAAAUAUUGGCGAGAGACCGAUAGCGAACAAGUCCAGUGAUGGAAAGAUGAAAAGAACUUUGAAAAGAGAGUGAAAAAGUACGUGAAAUUGUUGAAAGGGAAGGGCUUGAGAUCAGACUUGGUAUUUUGUAUGUUACUCUCUCGGGGGUGGCCUCUACAGUUUACCGGGCCAGCAUCAGU
This 434-nucleotide ribosomal RNA is filed under the name Lodderomyces parapsilosis. RNAcentral describes it as "LSU rRNA". It matches the Rfam family "Eukaryotic large subunit ribosomal RNA", at positions 66 to 495 of the family's 3401-position model. Lineage: Eukaryota; Fungi; Ascomycota; Pichiomycetes; Serinales; Debaryomycetaceae. The record is from RNAcentral.